Molecule: ribosomal RNA, 495 nt
Filed under: uncultured bacterium
Lineage: Bacteria
Description: partial 16S ribosomal RNA
Rfam family: Bacterial small subunit ribosomal RNA
Source: RNAcentral
GACGAACGCUGGCGGCGUGCCUAAUACAUGCAAGUAGAACGCUGAAGGAGGAGCUUGCUUCUCCGGAUGAGUUGCGAACGGGUGAGUAACGCGUAGGUAACCUGCCUGGUAGCGGGGGAUAACUAUUGGAAACGAUAGCUAAUACCGCAUAACAGUAGAUAUUGCAUGAUAUCUGCUUGAAAGGUGCAAUUGCAUCACUACCAGAUGGACCUGCGUUGUAUUAGCUAGUUGGUGGGGUAACGGCUCACCAAGGCGACGAUACAUAGCCGACCUGAGAGGGUGAUCGGCCACACUUGGACUUAGACACGGCCCAGACUCCUACGGGAGGCAGCAGUAGGGAAUCUUCGGCAAUAGACGGAAGUCUGACCGAGCAACGCCGCGUGAGUGAAGAAGGGUGUCGGAUCGUAAAGCUCUGUUGUAAGAGAAGAACGAGUGUGAGAGUGGAAAGUUCACACUGUGACGGUAUCUGACCAGAAAGGGACGGCUAACUACGUG